RNAcentral lists this ribosomal RNA (254 nucleotides) under uncultured bacterium. RNAcentral describes it as "partial 16S ribosomal RNA". It matches the Rfam family "Bacterial small subunit ribosomal RNA", at positions 524 to 776 of the family's 1533-position model. The record is from RNAcentral.
UACGGAGGGGGCAAGCGUUGUUCGGAUUUACUGGGCGUAAAGGGUGUGUAGGCGGCCAUGCAAGUCUGGUGUGAAAUCUUCAUCGCUUAACGGGAAGAGGUCACUGGAAACUGCAUGGCUCGAGUAAGGUAGAGGCCAGCGGAAUUCCUGGUGUAGCGGUGGAAUGUGUAGAUAUCAGGAAGAACACCUGUGGCGAAGGCGGCUGGCUGGGCCUUCACUGACGCUGAAACACGAAAGCGUGGGGAGCAAACGGG